GGAUUUCUGUGAUGUAGCUACUAUAUCUGUCAACCUAUGGUUAGAGUUUUCAUGGCUGAUCUGGGUGGCUAGCCUGUUGUUCCUUUCCUCAACCACUAUCCCAUAUGUAUUCCUCCUCAGCCUGUGCAUUUUAUAAAAGAGGACAAUCUUCCUCAAGAAAUGAAGAUUGUUCCUUAGUCAGGGUAUGCAAGUAGCUGAUUUUUCUCAUGAGAACCCCAAAGAAUCAGCUUAUUGUUUCUUUGUGUUAAAAAUUCUAGAUCCUCAUCAUAUAUUUUGUGGUUAUGUGGUUUUCUGG
This 295-nucleotide small nuclear RNA is filed under the name Mesocricetus auratus (golden hamster). RNAcentral describes it as "7SK RNA". It matches the Rfam family "7SK RNA". From Rfam's summary of the family: 7SK was discovered as an abundant small nuclear RNA in the mid-70s but a possible function has only recently been suggested. Two independent studies have found that 7SK RNA binds the CDK9/cyclin T complex (known as elongation factor P-TEFb). Lineage: Eukaryota; Metazoa; Chordata; Mammalia; Rodentia; Cricetidae. The record is from Rfam by way of RNAcentral.